Molecule: ribosomal RNA, 493 nt
Filed under: uncultured bacterium
Lineage: Bacteria
Description: bacterial SSU rRNA
Rfam family: Bacterial small subunit ribosomal RNA
Source: RNAcentral
AAAUGAAUAGACGGGGGCCCGCACAAGCGGAGGAACAUGUGGUUUAAUUCGAUGAUACGCGAGGAACCUUACCUGGGCUUAAAUUGCAAUUGACGGAGGCCGAAAAGCCUCUUUCUUCGGACAAUUGUGAAGGUGCUGCAUGGUUGUCGUCAGCUCGUGCCGUGAGGUGUCGGCUUAAGUGCCAUAACGAGCGCAACCCUCAUUAUUAGUUACUAACAGGUUAAGCUGAGGACUCUAAUAAGACUGCCGUCGUAAGAUGUGAGGAAGGUGGGGAUGACGUCAAAUCAGCACGGCCCUUACGUCCAGGGCCACACACGUGUUACAAUGGGUGAAACAGAGGGCAGCUACCUAGCGAUAGGAUGCUAAUCCCAUAAAAUCACUCUCAGUUCGGAUUGAAGUCUGCAACUCGACUUCAUGAAGCUGGAUUCGCUAGUAAUCGCGCAUCAGCCACGGCGCGGUGAAUACGUUCCCGGGCCUUGUACACACCGCCCGU